Electrophorus electricus (electric eel) is the source of this 1089-nucleotide non-coding RNA. The record is from RefSeq and is a predicted model, not a curated record. NCBI's taxonomy places the organism in Eukaryota, Metazoa, Chordata, Actinopteri, Gymnotiformes, Gymnotidae.
CGCGGGGCUCCCGGCCGAGCCGCUCGCCGGCACGGCGGCGUCCGUGGGAAGGAAGCAGGCCUGGAGCCACAGGCCGAACCUCCACUCAGCCCCCGUCUGCCUGCCUGCCAUCCUCACCGGCCCAGGAGAGUGAGGGCCCAGAGAGAACGAUAGCGUGUGUGUGUGUGUGUGUGUGUGUGUGUGUGUGUGUGUGUGUGUGUGUGUGUGUGUGUGUGUGUGUGUUUGGGGGGGGGUGUAUAGUUGUGUGUAUGGCUUGGACUGUGCCAGAAAAAAACUCUAGCAAGCUGCUGCACAGCACCAAGGCUGGCGGCCUGUUCAGACCCGUCUCAUUCUCUCUCCUCUGUAUUUCAGUGUCUUUUGAUCGGCAGUCGGAGAGAGAGGUUGGACUCAGCCUGAUGUUUGAUUGCUGUGUACAUUCUGAAAUGGAAAAGCUAAACUGAACGGCUGUCAUCACUACCAGAAUACCACAGUACAGUGUGCUAUCCCAGUGUUUGAGUCUGUAUCCAGAAGAUAGCUGUUCCUUCAUCACACACUCACAAUCACUGUCACCCCGUCACUGUCGAGCACUGGAUCCGUCGAACGUUUGCAUCCUCCCAAAUGUUCCUUUUUAGCUGUCUUUCUCACGAUCCCUGACCUUUGUGUUAACGUAUUCUCUUUAUUGUGUUUUUGUUGUGUAGCAUGACAAGCUUAUUGCGGCCACUGUCAGUAGGCUUACUCACAGCAUAGCUAUUAAAAAAAAAAAAAAAAAAAAAAAAGUUGCUCUAAACUUGCCUCGUCAAAGUAUCCAAACUGUAAUCCGUUCAUCUGCAGACCUCACCUCUGUCUACACAUUGCGAAAACCCAUACAGUUAAAUGUGAGCUGUCAUUAAUGUUUCUUGUGACUUUGACAUCAUGUAUUGAUUUUGAAAUGAUUUAGAAUCCUACCUGAAUGCCUGAAGAAAGGUCAGGAUGAUGGUAACUAUGCCUACAGGCACCACAUGGCAGUUCCUCAUGUUUUUUAGUCCCAUGCCUGUAAAUACAACCUGUUUCUCUUAUUGGUCAUUGGAUCUCAUUUGUAUUUUCAAUACACUACUUGUCUGUGAAUCUUUA